CACUUGAACACAACGAAAUAAAAGGUUUUCAACGCUUACAAUACAGGAACACUUGAACACAACGAAAUAAAAGGUUUUCAUCGCUUACAAUACAGGAACACUUGAACACAACGAAAUAAAAGGUUUUCAUCGCUUACAAUACAGGAACACUUGAACACAACGAAAUAAAAGGUUUUCAUCGCUUACAAUACAGGAACACUUGAACACAACGAAAUAAAAGGUUUUCAUCGCUUACAAUACAGGAACACUUGAACACAACGAAAUAAAAGGUUUUCAUCGCUUACAAUACAGGAACACUUGAACACAACGAAAUAAAAGGUUUUCAUCGCUUACAAUACAGGAACACUUGAACACAACGAAAUAAAAGGUUUUCAACGCUUACAAUACAGGAACACUUGAACACAACGAAAUAAAAGGUUUUCAUCGCUUACAAUACAGGAACACUUGAACACAACGAAAUAAAAGGUUUUCAUCGCUUACAAUACAGGAACACUUGAACACAACGAAAUAAAAGGUUUUCAUCGCUUACAAUACAGGAACACUUGAACACAACGAAAUAAAAGGUUUUCAUCGCUUACAAUACAGGAACACUUGAACACAACGAAAUAAAAGGU
Long non-coding RNA from Eriocheir sinensis (Chinese mitten crab), 614 nucleotides. RefSeq lists it as uncharacterized. NCBI's taxonomy places the organism in Eukaryota, Metazoa, Arthropoda, Malacostraca, Decapoda, Varunidae. The record is from RefSeq and is a predicted model, not a curated record. The transcript is spliced from 3 exons.